Molecule: long non-coding RNA, 298 nt
Organism: Myxocyprinus asiaticus (Chinese sucker)
Lineage: Eukaryota; Metazoa; Chordata; Actinopteri; Cypriniformes; Catostomidae
Exons: 3
Source: RefSeq, a predicted model, not a curated record
GUGACAGUCGCUCUCACAUCUCAGCGCGGAUUAACAUCUCCUGGAGAGAGUUACUGCCCAUCCGCGCCAAGACUGCCUUUAAAACAUCUCCGCUUUCAGUUCAUCCGCCGUUGCUAGAGCUGCUGACAGAAAGGGGAAUGGAAAACCUUCACAAACUAAACGAGAAGGAACUUCGGGAGCUAUUUUGACUGAUGAAGCUGUUUCACAGGAGGAGGAGGAAUCUAUUUAUGCCAGUAAAGUCAUGCUGACACCCACUGGAGCCACCACACUGAAUCGUCUGCAAUCCCUCAAUUAUUCC